Molecule: ribosomal RNA, 255 nt
Filed under: uncultured bacterium
Lineage: Bacteria
Description: partial 16S ribosomal RNA
Rfam family: Bacterial small subunit ribosomal RNA
Source: RNAcentral
UACGAAGGGUGCAAACGUUGCUCGGAAUUAUUGGGCGUAAAGCGCACGUAGGCGGCUUAGCAAGUCGAAUGUGAAAUCCCUCGGCUCAACCAAGGAAGUGCAUCCGAAACUGCUGAGCUUGAGUACUUAAGAGGAUCGCGGAAUUCCCGGUGUAGAGGUGAAAUUCGUAGAUAUCGGGAGGAACACCAGUGGCGAAGGCGGCGAUCUGGGGAAGAUACUGACGCUGAGGUGCGAAAGCGUGGGGAGCAAACAGGG